Molecule: non-coding RNA, 262 nt
Organism: Pelobates cultripes (western spadefoot toad)
Lineage: Eukaryota; Metazoa; Chordata; Amphibia; Anura; Pelobatidae
Source: the annotation of a GenBank genome assembly
UGUUGACAUUAUAGUUGCGCAGGUACUUUGUUGACUCUAGAGAACCUCGGGACAAUCGCACAUCCCUGUGACGGCGACUUUGCAUUCGGAUGUCAUUCAUAUCAACUUUCGAUGUCAGUUUCUGCGCCUACCAUGGUGACCACGGGUAACGGGGAAUCAGGGUUCCAUUCCGUACAGGGACCCUGACAAACGGCUACCACAUGCAAGGAAGGCAGCAGACGCGCAUAUGACCCACUCCCGACGUGGGAAGGUAGUGACGACA